GACGAACGCUGGCGGCAUGCCUAACACAUGCAAGUCGAACGAACCCUUCGGGGUUAGUGGCGCACGGGUGCGUAACGCCUGGUAAUCUGCCCUUUGCUUCGGAAUAACUCAGGGAAACUUGUGCUAAUACCGGAUGGUGUCUUCGGACCAAAGAUUUAUCGGCAAGGGAUGAGCCCGCGUAGGAUUCGGUGGUUGGUGGGGUAAAGGCCUGCCAAGCCGACGAUCCUUAGCUGGUCUGAGAGGAUGAUCAGCCACACUGGGACUGAGACACGGACCAGACUCCUACGGGAGGGAGCAGUGGGGAAUAUUGGACAAUGGGCCCAAGCGUGAUCCAGCAAUGCCGCGUGAGUGAUGAAGGCCCUCGGGUAGUAAAGCUCUUUUACCAGGGAUGAUAAUGACAGUAACUGGAGAAUAAGCUCCGGCUAACUCCGUG
This 433-nucleotide ribosomal RNA is filed under the name uncultured bacterium. RNAcentral describes it as "partial 16S ribosomal RNA". It matches the Rfam family "Bacterial small subunit ribosomal RNA", at positions 28 to 507 of the family's 1533-position model. The record is from RNAcentral.